GAGUUUGAUCAUGGCUCAGGAUGAACGCUAGCGGCAGGCUUAACACAUGCAAGUCGAGGGGUAUAUUUCUUCGGAGAUAGAGACCGGCGCACGGGUGCGUAACGCGUAUGCAAUCUACCUUUUACAGGGGAAUAGCCCAGAGAAAUUUGGAUUAAUGCCCCAUAGUAUAGUGAAUCGGCAUCGGUUUAUUAUUAAAGUCACAACGGUAAAAGAUGAGCAUGCGUCCCAUUAGUUAGUUGGUAAGGUAACGGCUUACCAAGACUAUGAUGGGUAGGGGUCCUGAGAGGGAGAUCCCCCACACUGGUACUGAGACACGGACCAAACUCCUACGGGAGGCAGCAGUGAGGAAUAUUGGACAA
RNAcentral lists this ribosomal RNA (359 nucleotides) under uncultured bacterium. Its description in RNAcentral is "bacterial SSU rRNA". It matches the Rfam family "Bacterial small subunit ribosomal RNA", at positions 9 to 371 of the family's 1533-position model. The record is from RNAcentral.